AAGGCCUUGCGUUAUUCGAGCGGCCGACGUCUGAUUAGCUAGUUGGUGGGGUAAAGGCCUACCAAGGCGACGAUCAGUAGCGGGUCUGAGAGGAUGAUCCGCCACACUGGAACUGAGACACGGUCCAGACUCCUACGGGAGGCAGCAGUGGGGAAUUUUGGACAAUGGGGGCAACCCUGAUCCAGCCAUUCCGCGUGAGUGAAGAAGGCCUUCGGGUUGUAAAGCUCUUUCGGCCGGAACGAAAUCGCAUCUUCUAAUACGGGGUGUGGAUGACGGUACCGGAAGAAGAAGCACCGGCUAACUACGUGCCAGCAGCCGCGGUAAUACGUAGGGUGCGAGCGUUAAUCGGAAUUACUGGGCGUAAAGCGUGCGCAGGCGGCUCUUCAAGUCAGAUGUGAAAGCCCCGGGCUUAACCUGGGAACU
RNAcentral lists this ribosomal RNA (423 nucleotides) under uncultured bacterium. RNAcentral's name for it is "bacterial SSU rRNA". It matches the Rfam family "Bacterial small subunit ribosomal RNA", at positions 202 to 622 of the family's 1533-position model. The record is from RNAcentral.